Molecule: ribosomal RNA, 118 nt
Filed under: Limosilactobacillus reuteri
Lineage: Bacteria; Bacillati; Bacillota; Bacilli; Lactobacillales; Lactobacillaceae
Description: Lactobacillus reuteri partial 23S ribosomal RNA
Rfam family: Bacterial large subunit ribosomal RNA
Source: RNAcentral
UUCUCAUUUCCUUCGGGAAAGUAAGACCCCUCAGAGAUGAUGAGGUAGAUAGGAUGGAAGUGGAAGUGCCGUGAGGCAUGGAGCGGACCAUUACUAAUCGGUCGAGGACUUAACCAAG